Molecule: transfer RNA, 69 nt
Filed under: Kokeshia sp. NKU02
Lineage: Eukaryota; Metazoa; Arthropoda; Insecta; Hemiptera; Schizopteridae
Description: tRNA-Val
Source: RNAcentral
AAGUUAUAUGUUAUAAGAACUAAGUAUUAUUUACAGUAAUGUUAUAUUUGUGCAGUUCAAUUUAACUUA